AUGGAGUAUGCGGCAGCCCUGUGUGCUGGGACAGAAAAAAGGGACUGGAGAAAAGGAACACGUUUGUUUUUACUCAACCAGAACUGCGCGAGUCCUCUCUCAGCGAAUACUGGUUCGUCUGCAUGCAUGCCAGCACAGCUGCCAACCUGGAACACAGCCCUUUCCAAGAAAGCCCAGGAGAGCAGCCAACUGUUGACUCACCUGCCAGACACGGGGAUACUGCAGCCAAGAUGCCUCGGGGCCCUUGCAGGAGGAUUGGCAGGGCAGGCCCACGGUGGGGCACACACACACGGCUCUGUGGGGCGCUUCAAAGGGCCAGGCCUUCUUUCCUGAGUGCUUCAAGUUCCAGAGGUUAAAGACAUCCAGAUGGGCUUGUCCCCUCCCCCUCCUCCUCUGUUCUUCAGCCCUGGAAGUUUCUGCAGGAGACGGUCUUCCUCUGCAUUUCCAUUUGGGUGGCAGGCAGGAUUCUAAGAAAGCCCCCAUGAUUUUCUGCCCUCACUCCCGCCCUGGUGUGCACUCUCCUUCAGGACUGAGAAUGUAAUGGACGGCACUGCCCUGGUUAGAUUGUAUUAUACGAUGCAGCUGACCUUAAAGAAAGGAGAUAUUCCUGGUGGUCUGGUCCAAUCACAAGAUCCCUUUAAAGGCAGAGUUUUUGUCUGGCUGGUGACAGAAGUGCAUGUGAGAGUUCAAAGCUGGAGGGUUUGACCCACCCUUUCUGGCUCGAAGAUGGAGGAAGCCCCAUGGCAAGACAUGCAGGCAGCUUCUAGAAGCUGAGUAGCCAUCAACUCACGUCCAGCAAAGAACCAGGAGCUUCAGACCCACAAUAGCAAGGAGUUGAAUUCUCUCAACGAUGAACAUGAACUUGCACAUGGCUUCUUCCUUAGAGCCUCAGACAAGAACUGGGUCACCUUGACUUCUAAUUUCUGAUACCCUGAGCAGCAAAAACAUCUGAGUUUACCCAGACUGUGACCUACGGAAUGGUGAGUUGAUGGUGUCAUUUCUAACUGCUAAAUUUGUGGUAACUUGUUACAAUACAAUAGAAAACUAAUACACCUGGGAUACUUCAUAGGCCUCUCAAACCUCACAGGUCCCGCUGUUUCUCCAUGAACCUGCUCUUCAGUCUUCCCCAUCUUGUUAGUGACAACUAGCUUCUUCUGCGCUCAGGCUGCAAGUCUUAAAAGUCUCUUCUUGUAGACUCUAUGUUGAUCGAUCAGCAAAUUCUUUCAACUCUCCUAUUGUAAAGUAUCGAGAUUUUGAUGGUGCCUCACCAGCCCCAGCGCACUCCCUCUCCUCUCUG
Molecule: long non-coding RNA, 1297 nt
Filed under: Felis catus (domestic cat)
Lineage: Eukaryota; Metazoa; Chordata; Mammalia; Carnivora; Felidae
Description: lncRNA (ENSFCAG00000049464.1)
Source: RNAcentral